UAAGGAGUCGGACCUGCCCAGUGAAUUAUUUUUAACGGCCGCGGUACUCUGACCGUGCAAAGGUAGCAUAAUCAUUUGCCUUAUAAUUGAAGGCUAGUAUGAAUGGUUUGACAAGAAUAUGGCUGUCUCUUUAUAAUUUUAUAGAACUUUAUUUUAAAGUGCAGAAGCUUUAAUUAAAUUAAAAGACAAGAAGACCCUAUCGAGCUUGAAAAAAAUUUCUAGAAAUAAAUUAAUAAAAAUUUUAAAAGAUUAGCUAAGAAAUAUUUUAGUUGGGGCGACUAAGGAACAAACAAAGCUUCCUUUAAUAAAAAUAACAUUUAAGUAUGGAUCCAGAAUGUUUGAUUGAAAGAAUUAGUUACCGUAGGGAUAACAGCAUUAUCUUUUUUGAGAGUUCUUAUCGAAAAAAAGGUUUGUGACCUCGAUGUUGGACCAGAAUAUCCUAAAGGUGCAGAAGUCUUUAAGGGUUGGUCUGUUCGACCAUU
Molecule: ribosomal RNA, 482 nt
Filed under: Turris spectabilis
Lineage: Eukaryota; Metazoa; Mollusca; Gastropoda; Neogastropoda; Turridae
Description: partial 16S ribosomal RNA
Rfam family: Bacterial large subunit ribosomal RNA
Source: RNAcentral